Molecule: ribosomal RNA, 253 nt
Filed under: uncultured bacterium
Lineage: Bacteria
Description: partial 16S ribosomal RNA
Rfam family: Bacterial small subunit ribosomal RNA
Source: RNAcentral
UACGUAGGGAGCAAGCGUUGUUCGGAUUUACUGGGCGUAAAGGGCGCGUAGGCGGCGCGACAAGUCACUUGUGAAAUCUCCGGGCUUAACUCGGAACGGUCAAGUGAAACUGUCAUGCUAGAGUGCAGAAGGGGCAAUCGGAAUUCUUGGUGUAGCGGUGAAAUGCGUAGAUAUCAAGAGGAACACCUGAGGCGAAGACGGGUUGCUGGGCUGACACUGACGCUGAGGCGCGAAAGCCAGGGGAGCAAACAGG